Molecule: unclassified non-coding RNA, 350 nt
Filed under: Hevea brasiliensis (rubber tree)
Lineage: Eukaryota; Viridiplantae; Streptophyta; Magnoliopsida; Malpighiales; Euphorbiaceae
Source: RNAcentral
GGGAUUCAGUCCUUUUUAUUUGGUAGGCUGUUGGUUAUCUCUCCUGCAAUGUCUUUUUUUGGCAGAGCUUUAUCUUAUUUCUAAUUGCAUUAGAGUAGAAUGUAUCUGAAAACUUAAUUUUUGGCAUAUUUAACCCUUGACUGAAAGUACAGGGUUUAUUUGGUUUUUUUCUCCCCUUCCUUUUAGUUUUCUUCUUGCAUAAUCUCUUUGAACAUCAAGUAUUCUCAGGGUGUGAAACUCAUAUUGACUAGAUGAUCUUUGCUAAGUCAAUCACAUAUUCUCUUGGAUACUUGGAAAUGCAUAUGACAUGGGUUUAGUUAAAGAGUGAAUGUGAUUGCUAUCUUGUGAAU